This 615-nucleotide ribosomal RNA is filed under the name Priestia aryabhattai. Its description in RNAcentral is "bacterial SSU rRNA". It matches the Rfam family "Bacterial small subunit ribosomal RNA", at positions 227 to 834 of the family's 1533-position model. The record is from RNAcentral. Lineage: Bacteria; Bacillati; Bacillota; Bacilli; Caryophanales; Bacillaceae.
GGGCCCGCGGUGCAUUAGCUAGUUGGUGAGGUAACGGCUCACCAAGGCAACGAUGCAUAGCCGACCUGAGAGGGUGAUCGGCCACACUGGGACUGAGACACGGCCCAGACUCCUACGGGAGGCAGCAGUAGGGAAUCUUCCGCAAUGGACGAAAGUCUGACGGAGCAACGCCGCGUGAGUGAUGAAGGCUUUCGGGUCGUAAAACUCUGUUGUUAGGGAAGAACAAGUACGAGAGUAACUGCUCGUACCUUGACGGUACCUAACCAGAAAGCCACGGCUAACUACGUGCCAGCAGCCGCGGUAAUACGUAGGUGGCAAGCGUUAUCCGGAAUUAUUGGGCGUAAAGCGCGCGCAGGCGGUUUCUUAAGUCUGAUGUGAAAGCCCACGGCUCAACCGUGGAGGGUCAUUGGAAACUGGGGAACUUGAGUGCAGAAGAGAAAAGCGGAAUUCCACGUGUAGCGGUGAAAUGCGUAGAGAUGUGGAGGAACACCAGUGGCGAAGGCGGCUUUUUGGUCUGUAACUGACGCUGAGGCNNNNNNNNGUGGGGAGCAAACAGGAUUAGAUACCCUGGUAGUCCACGCCGUAAACGAUAAGUGCUAAGUGUUAGAGGGUUUC